RNAcentral lists this non-coding RNA (123 nucleotides) under Mus caroli (Ryukyu mouse). The record is from RNAcentral. Lineage: Eukaryota; Metazoa; Chordata; Mammalia; Rodentia; Muridae.
GUGUUGUAUGAAAGGAGAGAAAGCUUAGCACUCCCGUAUAAGAACAGAAGGGACCACUGGGCCUAACACCUUCUAUAAGGUUAAAGCAUUGCCACACUUUGCAACAUCUAGCCACUUAAACAU